RNAcentral lists this ribosomal RNA (468 nucleotides) under uncultured bacterium. RNAcentral's name for it is "partial 16S ribosomal RNA". It matches the Rfam family "Bacterial small subunit ribosomal RNA", at positions 28 to 507 of the family's 1533-position model. The record is from RNAcentral.
GACGAACGCUGGCGGCGUGCUUAACACAUGCAAGUCGAACGGAAAGGCCCUGCUUUUGUGGGGUGCUCGAGUGGCGAACGGGUGAGUAACACGUGAGUAACCUGCCCUUGACUUUGGGAUAACUUCAGGAAACUGGGGCUAAUACCGGAUAGGAGCUCCUGCUGCAUGGUGGGGGUUGGAAAGUUUCGGCGGUUGGGGAUGGACUCGCGGCUUAUCAGCUUGUUGGUGGGGUAGUGGCUUACCAAGGCUUUGACGGGUAGCCGGCCUGAGAGGGUGGCCGGCCACAUUGGGACUGAGAUACGGCCCAGACUCCAACGGGAGGCAGCAGUGGGGAAUAUUGCACAAUGGGCGGAAGCCUGAUGCAGCAACGCCGCGUGCGGGAUGACGGCCUUCGGGUUGUAAACCGCUUUCGCCUGUGACGAAGCGUGAGUGACGGUAAUGGGUAAAGAAGCACCGGCUAACUACGUG